RNAcentral lists this long non-coding RNA (2006 nucleotides) under Gossypium barbadense (sea-island cotton). RNAcentral's name for it is "long non-coding RNA (GBAR_LNC000781)". Lineage: Eukaryota; Viridiplantae; Streptophyta; Magnoliopsida; Malvales; Malvaceae. The record is from RNAcentral.
UGAUCUCUUUCGCUGUAUGUCGUGCUCGUUUGGGUUGGGCGUCGGCUAAGAGUGCUUGGAGCGUGGAUUAACUCCAGUCUCCUAUCAGGUGUGUAUUUCUCACUACUCUAGCUGUAGGAUGGCUACUUCGGGCAGCGAUGGGUCGAAAGGGGCUAUGUGGGCCCAAUGGGCCUACGGGUCAAAUUGGAUAAGUUGUUUGAUUGUGUAGUAAAUAUUGGACUAGGCUAGGUGAAUCUCAUAUUUGUGGCUAGAUUUGGGCUAAAGGGGCCACACGAGCGUGUGGGCCCAUUUGGGUUGAGAAUGGGCUUUAGGGCCAUUCGUACUAUUAUCCCUGUAGAAUACUUUAGUUUACCAAAUUACAGAAAUGCCCUCGACUUGUAAAAUUACCAAAGUACCCUCGAUUUAUAGAAUUACUGUUUUACCCUUGAUUUAUAGAAUUACCAUUUUACCCUAGAUUUAUAGAAUUACCGUUUUACCCUCAAUUACAGAAUUAUCAUUUUACCCUUGAUUUACAGAAUUACCGUUUUACCCUCGAUUUAUAGAAUUACCAUUUUACUCUCGAUUUAUAGAAUUACCGUUUUACCCUCGAUUUAUAGAAUUACCAUUUUACCUUCGAUUUACAGAAUUACUGUUUUACCCUCAAUUUAUAAAAUUACUAAAAUACCAUUAGUUUACAAAAUUACCAAAAUACCCUCGAUCAGUAAAUUACCAAAAUAACCCUGGUUUGUAAAAUUACUACAAUACCCUUGGUUUGUAAAAUUACCAAAAUACCCCUGAUUUGUGAAAUUAUCGAAAUACUAUCGAUUUGUAAAAUAUUGAAAUACCCUUGUAGGGUAGAAUUACUGAAAUAACCCUAUAGGGUAGAAUUACCGAGAUACCCCUAUAGGGUAAAAUUACUGAAAUACCCCUACAGGGUAGAAUUACCAAAAUACCCUUGUAGGGUAGAAAUACUAAAAUACCCCUGUAGGGUAGAAUUACCGAGAUACCCUUGUGGGGUAAAAUUACCAUUUUGCCCCUAGGGUGUUAAAUGACUGUUUUGCCCUUGUGGGCAAGUGACUGACUUGGACUGUGUGGUUGACGGAUUUGAUUGUGAAUAUAUGUUGGUGAUAUGAAUGACUUGACUGUGAUUGUUUGAUUCAAAUAUGUGCAUGACAUUCUGCAUACAUGACAUGUUGCAUGGGUUGGGUUUUAUAAAUGGAGGAAGUGCUAAAAGGGCAAUGCCCCAGUUUAACGAAAAAGGCUUUGCCCUAGUUUACCGAAAAGGGCUUUGCCCCAGUUUAUAAAAAAGGGCUUUGCCCCAGUUUUUAAAAGAGGCUAGGCUUCUAGUUAUAUGAUAAAGCAGCUAUGCUACCAGUGGAGAGUUUGGUUGGGUGGGUUGAGUUAUUCCCCACAUGGAGAGCUUGUUUGGUACGGGUGGAGAGUAGCAGAUGGUGGGUUGAGUAGUCUCCCCAGAUGGGCUUGCAUACAUCCAUUGGUAUUACAUGUGAUAUUGAAAUGGGCCUAUGGGCCAUACCGCUUACAGUAAAGGCAUCGGCCAGUGGUAUGAUUUAUGAAAAGGCUUCGGCCAGUGAUAUGAUUUAUGAAAAGGCUUCGGCCCAGUAUAUGUCGAGACUAAAUUAGGGCUUAGGCCCAUAUUGCUACUAUUUAAAGGCUAAGGCCCAAACUGUACCGUUACUGAAUAGGGCUUUGGCCCAGAUUGUACUGACACUGUGUUAUUCACUGUUUGUUUGUUGUUGGGGAUUACACACUAAGUUUUCGUAAACUCACCCUGUUUCUAACUGUGCAGGUAAUCCCUAAGCUUAGAUGGUUUGGAGCUGCGAGGGACUCAGAGAUGGCCACACUACUGUUUCUCUUUCUUUUAAUUGUAGUAAGUAACCAGUUUAUUUUAUUUUAUUUUAUAAGUUUUAUCUUAAGUAAUAUUAUUAUUUGGUUUUGGGUUGUAAUAAGGCCAUUUUAAUUAUUUUUUUGGGAUUAUUUUAUUUUAUACCUUAUAUUUUACUGAUAAC